CCCCCCCUCACUCGCGCGUUAGGAGGCUCGGGUCGGUGUGGUGUGCCGUCUUCCCGCUCGCGUCAGGGACCUGCCCGACUCAGCGGCCGCCAUGGCGUCCGACGAAGGCAAACUUUUCGUGGGCGGGCUCAGUUUUGACACCAACGAGCAGUCGCUGGAGCAGGUCUUCUCCAAGUACGGACAGAUCUCGGAAGUGGUGGUGGUGAAAGACAGGGAGACCCAGCGAUCGCGAGGCUUUGGUUUUGUCACCUUUGAGAACAUCGAUGAUGCCAAGGACGCCAUGAUGGCCAUGAAUGGGAAGUCUGUGGACGGGCGGCAGAUCCGAGUUGACCAGGCUGGCAAGUCAUCCGACAAUCGAUCCCGAGGGUACCGAGGUGGCUCUACUGGAGGCCGGGGCUUCUUCCGUGGGGGCCGGGGCCGGGGCCGUGGGUUCUCCAGAGGGGGAGGGGACCGAGGCUAUGGGGGUGGCAGGUUUGAGUCCCGGAGUGGGGGCUACGGAGGCUCCAGAGACUACUACAGCAGUCGGAGUCAGGGUGGUGGCUACGGUGACCGGAGCUCAGGCGGUUCCUACAGAGACAGCUAUGACAGUUACGGGUGAAGGCGGCCCGCAUGGACAGCAGCGAUGACCUCGGGUCGCCGCCAGGAGGGCCACACAGAAGGACAGCGAGACCAGCCGCCUGCCUCCCGGCUCGUCGCCCCCGCCACGACGAACGGGAGCCAGCCGGACGAGCCACACAACAGAACGCAUGCGUGGGUUCCGGGCGCGCAGGGCUCGGCGCUGCUGCGCUCCUUCUACGUGCUCACGGGCCUCUGUGGCCUGGCGGCGCUCUACUUCCUCAUCCGGGCAUUCAGGUUCGUCAGGCGGAAGUUGUUGCCGCUGCCCUUCCUCAGCCAAUUGGCACAUGUCACGUGUGGGGGCGGGGCCGUGCUGCCACGUGGCUCCCCCAGGGCAAGUAGCGGGUUUUGGUAGUUUUCACUAGCGAGGGGUAGUGUGGGGUGGUGCUGCUUUUUAGGCGGAUGGCAUGGCCGGUCUCUCCUUCCCUGGAGGACACCAAGAGAUUGCUUCUCUGUUCUCAUGCUUAUGGCAGCCACGAGUGUCCUGUCCUAUUUUCCGGUACUGCUGUUAGCACUGCAUAGAGACUCUCCAGGUCCCCAGGGACCCGCUGCCUGGCGUUCGCCUGCUACAACUGGCCUCUGACCUUCUUGGUCGGAGUCUGGUCAAGCCCUCUGCGGCCCUUUGGGUCCUCUUGCUCUCCCCACCCCUGUGUAGGACUUGUGCGUUGGAGCCUGCCCCUUCAUUCUGGGUUCUCCUGAUUGACUUCCCCUAGAAAGGUGAGAAGCGCCUGUCCUUCCCCGUGGCCCUCGUCUCUGUUGUGCCUCUGGGGCACUCUGGAGCUGAUCUCUGGAAGGACCCUCAUCACAUCGGUGGUGAUGUCCCUUCUGGUCAUCAUCCAAGCACAGUCUUGUAGUUCUUGGUGGAGAGCCUUCAUCUCCUGACUCCGUUGCGUAUGCCCAUUCACUAUAUCUGUCUCUCCGUUUCUCUGGUAUGGCCACCGGCAGGCAGGCAGGGGCUUGGGCCCACAGUCCUCCCUUUAGGGACUGGUGGACUCUUAACUCUGCUCCGGGACUCUCUGUCAGUAAACUGGGAGCCGGAACAUCAUCAUUUUCUUGUGGUCUUGGCACAGGGGAGGUGGGGGUGAGCUGAGGAAUGUGUUCACUUGCUGUUGCUGCAGUGACAGUUUUUUUUUUCCCCCUGAGGGAGGAUUGAAUGCAGGUGUACUUUACAAGAGAGCUACCCCCAACCCUUUUUUAAGUUUUGAGACAGUGUCCAGUUGCUCAGCUAGGCUGGAACUUGGAAUUCUCCUACCUCAGUUGGGAUGACAAGCGUGUGCUACCACAUCCAGCUGUACGAAAGCAUUUAGUAAUAAUCCUCAUGGCUUUUACAAUGUGAAGGUAGCAGACAUGAUUGGGCUGGAUGCAGCAGGACUCUGGGGGUGGGAACGGGCACAAAAGUGAGGGCCAGGGGCCAGACGGAGAGAGCAGAGACAGCCACUGAGUGUGUCUGGACCAUGUGCAGGUUGAAG
This is a non-coding RNA of Marmota flaviventris (yellow-bellied marmot), 2084 nucleotides long. NCBI's taxonomy places the organism in Eukaryota, Metazoa, Chordata, Mammalia, Rodentia, Sciuridae. The record is from RefSeq and is a predicted model, not a curated record.